UAGAGUUUGAUCCUGGCUCAGGAUGAACGCUGGCGGCGUGCUUAACACAUGCAAGUCGAACGAACCUUCGGGUUAGUGGCGGACGGGUGAGUAACGCGUGAGAAUCUGCCCUCAGGAGGGGGAUAACGGUUGGAAACGACCGCUAAUACCCCAUAUGCCGAUAGGUGAAAUGAAUUUCGCCUGAGGAUGAGCUCGCGUCUGAUUAGCUUGUUGGUGAGGUAAUGGCUCACCAAGGCUUCGAUCAGUAGCUGGUCUGAGAGGAUGAUCAGCCACACUGGGACUGAGACACGGCCCAGACUCCUACGGGAGGCAGCAGUGGGGAAUUUUCCGCAAUGGGCGAAAGCCUGACGGAGCAACGCCGCGUGAGGGACGAAGGCCUCUGGGCUGUAAACCUCUUUUCUCAAGGAAGAAGAUAUGACGGUACUUGAGGAAUAAGCCACGGCUAAUUCCGUGCCAGCAGCCGCGGUAAUACGGGAGUGGCAAGCGUUAUCCGGAAUUAUUGGGCGUAAAGCGUCCGCAGGCGGCUUUUCAAGUCUGCUGUUAAAGCGUGGAGCUUAACUCCAUUAUGGCAGUGGAAACUGAUAGGCUUGAGUAUGGUAGGGGCAGAGGGAAUUCCCGGUGUAGCGGUGAAAUGCGUAGAUAUCGGGAAGAACACCAGUGGCGAAGGCGCUCUGCUGGGCCAUUACUGACGCUCAUGGACGAAAGCCAGGGGAGCGAAAGGGAUUAGAUACCCCUGUAGUCCUGGCCGUAAACGAUGAACACUAGGUGUCGGGGGAAUCGACCCCUUCGGUGUCGUAGCUAACGCGUUAAGUGUUCCGCCUGGGGAGUACGCACGCAAGUGUGAAACUCAAAGGAAUUGACGGGGGCCCGCACAAGCGGUGGAGUAUGUGGUUUAAUUCGAUGCAACGCGAAGAACCUUACCAGGGUUUGACAUCCUGAGAACCUCUUAGAAAUUUGAGGGUGCCUUCGGGAAUUCAGUGACAGGUGGUGCAUGGCUGUCGUCAGCUCGUGUCGUGAGAUGUUGGGUUAAGUCCCGCAACGAGCGCAACCCACGUUUUUAGUUGCCAGCAUUAGUUGGGCACUCUAGAAAGACCGCCGGUGAUAAACCGGAGGAAGGUGUGGAUGACGUCAAGUCAUCAUGCCCCUUACACCCUGGGCUACACACGUACUACAAUGCCACGGACAAAGGGCAGCAAACUCGCGAGAGCUAGCAAAUCCCAUAAACCGUGGCUCAGUUCAGAUCGUAGGCUGCAACUCGCCUACGUGAAGUAGGAAUCGCUAGUAAUCGCAGGUCAGCAUACUGCGGUGAAUACGUUCCCGGGCCUUGUACACACCGCCCGUCACACCAUGGAAGUUGGCCAUGCCCGAAGUCGUUACUCCAACCCUUGUGGAGGAGGACGCCGAAGGUGGGGCUAAUGACUGGGGUGAAGUCGUAACAAGGUAACCA
RNAcentral lists this ribosomal RNA (1447 nucleotides) under uncultured bacterium. Its description in RNAcentral is "bacterial SSU rRNA". It matches the Rfam family "Bacterial small subunit ribosomal RNA". The record is from RNAcentral.